This 502-nucleotide ribosomal RNA is filed under the name Salmonella enterica. Its description in RNAcentral is "bacterial SSU rRNA". It matches the Rfam family "Bacterial small subunit ribosomal RNA", at positions 875 to 1377 of the family's 1533-position model. The record is from RNAcentral. Lineage: Bacteria; Pseudomonadati; Pseudomonadota; Gammaproteobacteria; Enterobacterales; Enterobacteriaceae.
GGGGAGUACGGCCGCAAGGUUAAAACUCAAAUGAAUUGACGGGGGCCCGCACAAGCGGUGGAGCAUGUGGUUUAAUUCGAUGCAACGCGAAGAACCUUACCUGGUCUUGACAUCCACAGAAGAAUCCAGAGAUGGAUUUGUGCCUUCGGGAACUGUGAGACAGGUGCUGCAUGGCUGUCGUCAGCUCGUGUUGUGAAAUGUUGGGUUAAGUCCCGCAACGAGCGCAACCCUUAUCCUUUGUUGCCAGCGGUUAGGCCGGGAACUCAAAGGAGACUGCCAGUGAUAAACUGGAGGAAGGUGGGGAUGACGUCAAGUCAUCAUGGCCCUUACGACCAGGGCUACACACGUGCUACAAUGGCGCAUACAAAGAGAAGCGACCUCGCGAGAGCAAGCGGACCUCAUAAAGUGCGUCGUAGUCCGGAUUGGAGUCUGCAACUCGACUCCAUGAAGUCGGAAUCGCUAGUAAUCGUGGAUCAGAAUGCCACGGUGAAUACGUUCCCGG